UGGGGGAUCGUCCAGCGGCAGGACAGCGGGUUCUGGCCCCGUUAACCAGGGUUCGAGUCCUUGUCCCCCAGCCA
This 74-nucleotide transfer RNA is filed under the name Desulfobacteraceae bacterium. Its description in RNAcentral is "tRNA-Gln". It matches the Rfam family "tRNA". Rfam says of the family: Transfer RNA (tRNA) molecules are approximately 80 nucleotides in length. Their secondary structure includes four short double-helical elements and three loops (D, anti-codon, and T loops). Further hydrogen bonds mediate the characteristic L-shaped molecular structure. tRNAs have two regions of fundamental functional importance: the anti-codon, which is responsible for specific mRNA codon recognition, and the 3' end, to which the tRNAs corresponding amino acid is attached (by aminoacyl-tRNA synthetases). tRNAs cope with the degeneracy of the genetic code in two manners: having more than one tRNA (with a specific anti-codon) for a particular amino acid; and 'wobble' base-pairing, i.e. permitting non-standard base-pairing at the 3rd anti-codon position. The record is from RNAcentral. Lineage: Bacteria; Pseudomonadati; Thermodesulfobacteriota; Desulfobacteria; Desulfobacterales; Desulfobacteraceae.